CCUGGCUCCAACAUCCCAGGGAAUUGUGUCACUCCCAUUGAGCAGCUGUGGGGCCCUCUCCCACAUGGCCCAGGUCCACCACUCUGUCAAAGGUCGCACAGCCCAGACAAAAACAGGACACAGCAGUGUGUGAAUGAGCCGGGCUUUCUCCUUCCCUCCACGUAAUAGAAGGUGCCUGAGGUUGUUGAAACACAGUCCAUUUCUCCUGGGAAUGACAAGAAUUUGAGGGAUGCUGACUUUCAAGGAAUACUGCAUGACAGGCAUCAAGAUAAACCUGAUGAAGAAAACAUAGGCCAGAAUCUGGGAAUCGGGAGCAAAGUAAUACAGCUUCGGGGACAGGCACGUAAUGAGGUCAUGAUGUAGGAGACUCCCUGCAGGACUGGCGGCCCCUGUUCCCUGGGUUGUUCUGGCUCUUUCAGAACCUGACCCUGGAACAGGACUGAGCAGGUGCCUGUGUGCACAGAAGACCUUGUGUGAGUCCUUUGGUACCACGUUUGCUGCACGAAUGUCUGAGACACCUCACAGUCGCUUGGUUCAGCCUCUCCCUCCUCUCUCCGCUGGGGAACAUCAUCCCUCAUCACUGGAAGAAAUUACAAGGAUUGUGUAAACAAUUACAAGUAUUCUACAAACAGUGAGCAUGCUGGUUUGGCCCAUCUAUUUGUAAGAAAAAACAUGGGGUUUUAUGGCAAUGAGUUACAGCUCUGAACUCCUGGCACAAUCACAAAUAUCCUCAGCACAAAACACCAAGUGUAUGUCUCCCUUCU
Molecule: long non-coding RNA, 764 nt
Filed under: Homo sapiens (human)
Lineage: Eukaryota; Metazoa; Chordata; Mammalia; Primates; Hominidae
Description: non-protein coding lnc-AKR1E2-5:8
Source: RNAcentral